ACUCAAAUGAAUAGACGGGGGCCCGCACAAGCGGAGGAGCAUGUGGCUCAAUUCGAUGCAACGCGAAGAACCUUACCAGGGCUUGACAUGCAGCUGCACGUCCCGUGAAAGCGGGAUUCCUUCGAGGGUGCUGCACAGGUGCUGCAUGGCUGUCGUCAGUUCGUGCCGUGAGGUGUUGGGUUAAGUCCCGCAACGAACGCAACCCCUGUGUUUAGUUGCUACCAGGUAAUGCUGGGCACUCUAAACAGACUGCCUGUACAAAACAGGAGGAAGGUGGGGAUGACGUCAAGUCAGUAUGGCCCUUACGCCCUGGGCUGCACACGUGCUACAAUGGCCGGUACAGAGGGAAGCAAGACCGCGAGGUGGAGCAAAUCCUUAAAACCGGCCCCAGUUCGGAUUGAAGGCUGAAACUCGCCUUCAUGAAGUCGGAUUCGCUAGUAACGGCGCAUCAGCUACGGCGCCGUGAAUACGUUCCCGGGCCUUGCACACACCGCCCGU
This 498-nucleotide ribosomal RNA is filed under the name uncultured bacterium. RNAcentral's name for it is "partial 16S ribosomal RNA". It matches the Rfam family "Bacterial small subunit ribosomal RNA", at positions 899 to 1397 of the family's 1533-position model. The record is from RNAcentral.